GACGAACGCUGGCGGCGUGCUUAACACAUGCAAGUCGAACGGAAAGGCCCUGCUUUUGUGGGGUGCUCGAGUGGCGAACGGGUGAGUAACACGUGAGUAACCUGCCCUUGACUUUGGGAUAACUUCAGGAAACUGGGGCUAAUACCGGAUAGGAGCUCCUGCUGCAUGGUGGGGGUUGGAAAGUUUCGGCGGUGGGGGAUGGACGCGCGGCUUAUCAGCUUGUUGGUGGGGUAGUGGCUUACCAAGGCUUUGACGGGUAGCCGGCCUGAGAGGGUGACCGGCCACAUUGGGACUGAGAUACGGCCCAGACUCCUACGGGAGGCAGCAGUGGGGAAUAUUGCACAAUGGGCGGAAGCCUGAUGCAGCAACGCCGCGUGCGGGAUGACGGCCUUCGGGUUGUAAACCGCUUUCGCCUGUGACGAAGCGUGAGUGACGGUAAUGGGGAAAGAAGCACCGGCUAACUACGU
This 467-nucleotide ribosomal RNA is filed under the name uncultured bacterium. Its description in RNAcentral is "partial 16S ribosomal RNA". It matches the Rfam family "Bacterial small subunit ribosomal RNA", at positions 28 to 506 of the family's 1533-position model. The record is from RNAcentral.